RNAcentral lists this unclassified non-coding RNA (1648 nucleotides) under Hevea brasiliensis (rubber tree). Lineage: Eukaryota; Viridiplantae; Streptophyta; Magnoliopsida; Malpighiales; Euphorbiaceae. The record is from RNAcentral.
GAAAAUUCCAGAAAGGCUUUUCAAAAUCAGAGUAGACAGACAUCCAAGUCUGAUUUUUUGAACCGCUUCACCUACCACUCCAAUACGUUCCACUCUGUUUGGCGAGCGAGAAAAGGAUAGAAAAAGAGAGAAAAAUGCAGAUAAUGGGAGCUAUAAGUGAGCUUUUGGUGGCUAUUCCAUCAACGGCAGGUCUCAGGUGUCCUGAAUUCAGGCAUCAAUUGCAUUCUUUCUCUUUUCUCUCUUCUACCGUUUACAAAACAUGCCCUUCGUUUGGCAUACCAAAACUAGGAAUGGGAACCAGUAGGUAUCGGGAUAGAGGCAUAACUGUGAGAGCCUCAGGGGAUUCAAACAAUUAUUCGCUUCCAGUUUCUCCUCUUGAGUUUGAGUCCCCAGUGGGUCAGAUGUUGGAACAAAUAUUGCAAACCCAUCCACAUUUACUCCCUGCAGCCAUUGAUCAGCAGCUUGAGAACCUUGAAACUGAGAGAGAUACCCAGAGAAAUGAAAGUCCUCCAUCUCAAGAUUCCCUUUACAAGAGAAUUGCUGAAGUGAGGGAGAAGGAAAGACAAAAGACACUGGAGGAGAUCAUUUACUUUUUGAUAGUGCAGAAAUUUAUAGACAAUGACAUUUCUAUGAUCUCAAAAAUAACAGCAACCUCAGAUCCUACUGGACGAGUGGAUUUUUGGCCAAACCAGGAACAAAAAUUAGAGUCUGUUCAUUCGCCUGAAGCCUUUGAAAUGAUUCAGAGCCACUUAUCUCUAGUGCUGGGAGAUCGAUUAGUGGGCCCCCUUGAUACCAUUGUCCAAAUUAGCAAAAUAAAACUUGGAAAGUUGUAUGCUGCUUCUAUAAUGUAUGGAUAUUUUCUCAGAAGAGUUGAUCAAAGAUUUCAGCUUGAGAGAACCAUGAAUACCCUUCCCAAGCGUUUUGAUGAAAACAGGUCAAUAUAUUAUGAUCCAAGUCCAGAGAACCGGCUUUGGGAUCCAGAUUCUUUGAUAAGGAUUCCACCUGAUGAUGGAGGUGAUAGUGAUGAGGGCUAUAUGGAUACUGAUGGAGAAAAAAAAUAUAGACUGAGAUCUUAUGUAAUGUAUUUGGAUGCUGAGACACUCCAAAGAUAUGCAACCAUGAGAUCUAAGGAAGCCAUUUCUUUGAUUGAAAAGCAAGCUCAGGCACUAUUUGGGAGGCCUGACAUAAGGAUUGCUGAGGAUGGUUCAAUUGAUGCAACUAAUAAUGAAGUGGUUUCAGUCACUUUCUCAGGGUUGACUAUGUUAGUCUUGGAGGCGGUAGCAUUCGGAUCCUUCUUAUGGGAUGCAGAAAGUUAUGUUGAAUCAAAAUACCAUUUUGUUAACAGCUGAAGAUGUAGUCACUGUUGCUGCUGUGUAAAUUAUAAUGCAGGUUCUUCUUCUUUCGUUUUAGCUGGUAAAAAAAUGUGAAAGAUAUAGUUGUAAAAUGGAUGGAGCAUGAGGUAAGUACUGGCCAGUAAAUGCUAUUAACUUAUUAGAAGGACAAAUCUUUCUACAAGCAGUAAAUAUCUCAACCACUUUUUGUUACUGUUAAUAUCAGGAAGCUGUGACAAUGACAACAAAAGAAGACAGUUUGGUGAAACUGCCAUAAUCUGUCCUCGCAAUGCACUUUUUUUUUUUUUUAAAUUGAA